This 164-nucleotide ribosomal RNA is filed under the name Chaetothyriales sp. RNAcentral's name for it is "partial large subunit ribosomal RNA". It matches the Rfam family "Eukaryotic large subunit ribosomal RNA", at positions 99 to 261 of the family's 3401-position model. The record is from RNAcentral. Lineage: Eukaryota; Fungi; Ascomycota; Eurotiomycetes; Chaetothyriales.
CGGCAUCAGCUCAAAUUUGAAAUCUGGCUUCUUCGAAGCCUGAGUUGUAAUUUGUAGAGGACGUUUCGGGUACUGCGGCGGCUUAAAUUUCUUGGAACAGAAUGUCAGAGAGGGUGAGAAUCCCGUCUGGAGCCGCGGCUUAACCCAUGUGAAACUCCUUCGAC